GGAGCCUUUCUCGCUCUCUGCAGCUGCCUGAGAGGGGCUGGAGUGAGGGGGGGGCUGGUCUCUGCUCCCAAGUCACCAGUGACAGGACGAGAGGGAACGGCCUCAGGCUGCGUCAGGGGAGGUUUAGGUUGGAUGUGAGGGAAAAUGCCUUCCCUGCCAGAGGGGUCAGGCCCUGGCACAGGCUGCCCAGAGAGGUGGGGAGUCACCGUCCCUGGGGGGGUUCAACCACCGUGUAGCCGUGGGACUUGGGGCCAUGGUUUAGGAGGCCUGGGGGUGUUGGGUUGGGGGUUGGACUUGAUGAUCCGAGAGGUCUUUUCCAACCUUAAUGAUUCUGUGAGUCUAUGGUGGUGGAGGUGGGAGAAAUGAAGGAUGUGAGGAGGGCCUUUCCUAGGAGCAGGGCACCCUGGGUGAUUAGGUCGGAAGGUACGAGACAGCCUGGACUGGCCAGCAGCAGUUUGACAGUUCUGUUGUACGUAGCUGGCUCACACCCCACAGAACAGCGUGGCUGGUGCCUCGUGGCCGACCGGUGUCUUGGGCUGUGACUCGGGAGGUGCUGAGCUCUGUACAGCCCACGCCUGAAUUGGGGCAUGGUCUUUUCUGUGUUGGUUCCUUGUCAGGACAGCAGAGAGAGAAAUUCUCGGAAGGAUGUUAUUUAUUGAUACAAAGACCUUGGGUUUGUAGUGUACCUGCCACAAUUGGUUCCUCUGGGUGAGGGAAGAUUUAAACAUGACAGGGUUUUGGUGGGAAUUUCUUCCUGGCCUCAGGCUGUGAGGGACAAAAAAUAACCAGCUGCGAGGGUGCACGCUGGGGAAGGGUCUCCAGGUGUACCUGUGGUGCUCGGCUUCCAGAACACAGGGGACCCUCUGGGGGUGUACCUCUGUGUCUGGAGAAGUGUUUAUGUUUCUUCAAGGUCUUUUUCAGAACCUGUUGGCAAUAUUACCAGAAUUGGAUCUAAAUUACUUGAAUUUUCAGUGAUCAUGGCCUCUGACAUGUAUUGCACGCACUGGGGCACCUCAGAAAAGGCAGGAAAGUGGGCAAAUGCCAUGGGUGUUUUGUGACUGCUUGGACCAACCCCCUGCCAGUGAAGAGUCUCGUCUUCGGGCUCAGCGCCUGCAGCAGCAGUUGCAGAGCAGCCGUGUCUCCAUGGGGCAGGCCUGUCUCAGAACGAGGGGUGGCAGCGGGGCUGUCAAACUACCGACCUUGACCCUGAGGAUGCAAAACAAAGCAAAAGGGAAUCUCAGACCGUGGCUUAAUCAGGAGUCCCUGACUGAGCCCUGAUUAACAGUGCUGCGGCUGUAUGAGAGACCGUGAAUAGCGGCGGGCUGCUGGAAAGUGAAGGAAGAGGCUCUCCUAUCAAAACAUGCCACCCAGACCGGGAGAUGAGGAGUCUUCGAGAGUCAGUGGUGCCCCUGAGUCGUGGUGGCGGGGCAUUGCCCCUGGUCCUGCCAGCAGCCGUUUGUUUGUUUUACGGCUAAGCGUUUCUUCUGAUGGCUCUCAGCAGGAAAAGACUUAAGAACAUCGUGUGUGUCCAAGGAGGAAAUAGCGGAGGGAAAGCAUAGGCAUUGUCUGGCGAGAGAGGGAGUUUUCCUCUGGGCGUUGUCUGGCUGUACAAGAGCUUUGUCAUAACGCAAUAUGCAAAAUCUGUAUUGCCUUUUCAGAGGAAGCUCAAGGAAGCUUCAGUAGCAUCGGAGUCAGAGCUGAGAAAACCAGUGACGACCUGGCAGUGUGCUGCUUCUGGCAGCUGGAGAGAAAGUUCUGAAGCACUUUGAAAUGGUACAGGAAUAAACCAGGAUAUGGUGCUCUUGUUUUAUGACCUGCAGUGUUAGGUUAUGAUGAGAGAUUGUGGAACUGCUUUCACUGAUAUUUUUAAAAUGGACUGAUAGCUACUGAACGUGCUCUGUCUGGGCCGCUUGAUCCUUUCCUAGCGCGCAGGUUUGGCCCUGAUGGCAUCCUGAAGUCCCUUCCAGACCUGCGUUUCUGUGCUUCCCACCGUGCUGUCAGGCACGGCUUGAUACAUCGGAAGCAUGAAGGUGUGGUGUGAUGUGGUGGGGAGGAGACUGGAGCGCUGGGGUCUGAGGGGGGCUGUCCUCUCCCAACUGGGCCCUGCCGGCUUUCAGGGACUCCCAGCUCCCUACGGAUGCUCCAGGGAGCAGCUUCUCGGCCUCUGGCCGUAGUGGGCUCCGCUCUGGGAGCGGACUUGCUCUCAGCCGUGCUCACCUGACAGUACAGUCAGUGCUGAAUUUGUUAGUCUGGUUUCUUAAUCCUGGCAAUACUGUAGAUAGUAGGAAUGACGCUGUAUUGAUGGUGAGUAUGCACUGGGGUCUAACUGUGCAGCAGAAAUUAAUUCAAACUGCAGCUCCUUUUUACUCUUGCUUAAUUAGACCUCUGUUCAUUGUUUUGUGGUCUCUGCGAGUGGCGUUCCUAUUGCCUGUCUGUCAUGCACCAGGUGAUCGGUUGCUUUAUCUGUACACCAGCCAUUCCCAAGCGCCAAACAUCUAUAGCACUGUGUGCUCAAACCAUUUUAUAUUUUAAUUGUUUAGUUAGACACUGAGGUACCUGCAUAUCCUCUGCUGUGCAGUGCCACAGAUGUCCCAGUUAGACCUUUGUUAAGGUGUUGAUACUUACUCAGUGUUUAGUAUUAACUGUCUGGUCAUCUUCAUCAGCUCAUUACUUCACUUGCAAUACUGUUUUUCUCCAGUCAGUCCUGUGCUUGUAAGAAGUGGCCCCGCAGAAGAGCCAGGAGCGCCUUGCCAGUCCACCCCGCUCCGUACUCGGGGCUGCAGCCUCCCCCGGUGCGACAGAUGCGCUUGACCUUGACCACACUGGCAGUGGUUUGCUGCAGACUCCAGAGGAGGUAAAGGCCUGAGCCGUAACUGGGGCCAAGAACUUGGCUAGUUCCAGUCUGCUCCCUGAUAACCCACAACGGAGCAGAGCGAUGCAGCGAGCAUCCGUGCUACGAGCUUGGAACGCCCAUCAUGCGAGUAACACGUGAACAGCCAGUGGCUUUUCCGAGACUUGUUUAUCAAGGAACAAAGAAAGUUGUGGGUGCAACAACUGCACACCUUUUCCGUGACGUGUAAAUUGAGGACAAGGCAACCCCUUUAUUCCACAGAUACGGCAGCCUCAGCGAGCCACCUUUGAGCUCUCCUGGCUAAGCAGCUGGCUGCGUGGCGGUGAUCUCCCCUUGAGCUGGGACACCCUCAGGGUUGUGCCUCAAGGCAGAGAGACCUUUCACCAAUGGCAGACCUUUGGUAAGCAACCGGUGCUGUGCAUAACCUUGUAGUAUGGUAACUUUGGUUUUGUGUCUUGGUAACUUUGAUUUUGUGUCUUGGUAACUUUGAUUUUGUGUCUUGGUAACUUGGUAGUUUUGAAUCAUUGUUCAAAUGAUUGUGCAGUACAGUAAUAGAGCAAACCUUGCCAUCGAACUUUACAGCGUCUCAUUAAACCCACUUUUGCCAAUA
Non-coding RNA from Phalacrocorax carbo (great cormorant), 3461 nucleotides. Lineage: Eukaryota; Metazoa; Chordata; Aves; Suliformes; Phalacrocoracidae. The record is from RefSeq and is a predicted model, not a curated record.